AAUCGACGCUUCACUCGAUAUCACUUGUUCCGUGUAAAUAGCACACAAUGAGCGGAGUUACUUUUGCUGGUGAUGACAGUGUCAGCUUUGCUGAGAACAAUGACGGUGUCAGCAUUGCUGACAAUAAUAGCGAUGUAAACUUCGCUGACAACAAUGACGGUGUCAGCUUUGCUGAUAACGGCAGCGACAACGGGAGCGAGGUUAACUUUGCUGGCAAUGGCGGGGACAGCACGGGAGUUCAAGUUGCUAACAGUAAUGAGGAAGUCAACGUUGUUGGUAAUGACGGUGGCGGGGGAGUUACAUUUGCCGACAACGAGGACGUCGUGCAGUUUGCUGAUUAAUAUUACUGGGAACAAUGUACUUCAAUAUUAUUCUGUUAUCGGCCCGGAGAUUGAGAAACGAAUUUCUUGAGGGACAUCCAUGUUGAGUGUUUACUUUUUCUGACAGAACUAAUACUUAUAUUGUAUCUGGGUACUUAGCUUUUUCCUCCACUCGAUAACUUCCGCGGGAAAGUCUUCUCUAAUGUAAUAAAUACCUGAUUUUUGCAA
Leptidea sinapis is the source of this 548-nucleotide long non-coding RNA. RefSeq lists it as uncharacterized. The transcript is spliced from 4 exons. Lineage: Eukaryota; Metazoa; Arthropoda; Insecta; Lepidoptera; Pieridae. The record is from RefSeq and is a predicted model, not a curated record.